UGUGCUGUUAGACAAUCUUCUGGGACUU
Molecule: non-coding RNA, 28 nt
Filed under: Rattus norvegicus (Norway rat)
Lineage: Eukaryota; Metazoa; Chordata; Mammalia; Rodentia; Muridae
Source: RNAcentral